RNAcentral lists this transfer RNA (39 nucleotides) under Percus plicatus. RNAcentral's name for it is "partial tRNA-Leu". The record is from RNAcentral. Lineage: Eukaryota; Metazoa; Arthropoda; Insecta; Coleoptera; Carabidae.
AUUUAAGCUUCAUAUAUAAAGUUGAUACUUUUUUUAGAA